RNAcentral lists this ribosomal RNA (253 nucleotides) under uncultured bacterium. RNAcentral describes it as "partial 16S ribosomal RNA". It matches the Rfam family "Bacterial small subunit ribosomal RNA", at positions 524 to 776 of the family's 1533-position model. The record is from RNAcentral.
CACGUAGGGGACGAGCGUUGUCCGGAAUCAUUGGGCGUAAAGAGCGUGUAGGCGGCCCGAUAAGUCCGCUGUGAAAGUCCAGGGCUCAACCCUGGAAUGCCGGUGGAUACUGUCGGGCUCGAAUCCGGAAGAGGUGAGUGGAAUUUCUGGUGUAGCGGUGGAAUGCGCAGAUAUCAGGAGGAACACCGAUAGCGAAGGCAGCUCGCUGGGACGGUACUGACGCUGAGGCGCGAAAGCGUGGGGAGCGAACAGG